UACGUAGGGGGCAAGCGUUAUCCGGAUUUAUUGGGUUUAAAGGGUGCGUAGGCGGAAUAUCAAGUCAGCGGUAAAAAUUCGGGGCUCAACCCCGUCGUGCCGUUGAAACUGAUGUUCUUGAGUGGGCGAGAAGUAUGCGGAAUGCGUGGUGUAGCGGUGAAAUGCAUAGAUAUCACGCAGAACUCCGAUUGCGAAGGCAGCAUACCGGCGCCCAACUGACGCUGAAGCACGAAAGCGUGGGUAUCGAACAGG
Molecule: ribosomal RNA, 252 nt
Filed under: uncultured bacterium
Lineage: Bacteria
Description: partial 16S ribosomal RNA
Rfam family: Bacterial small subunit ribosomal RNA
Source: RNAcentral